AGAGUUUGAUCAUGGCUCAGGACGAACGCUGGAGGUAUGCCUCAUACAUGCAAGUCGUACGGGAACUAUAACGCUUGCGUUGUAGUUCUAGUGGCGCACGGGUGAGUAACGCGUAGAUAACCUGCCCCGAAAACCGGGACAACGCCUGGAAACGGGUGCUAAUACCGGAUAAUCUGUUGCUAUUGACUUAGUAGCAGGAAAGUCGCCCUCUAUUUAUAAGGUGGCGUUUUGGGAGGGGUCUGCGUCCUAUUAGCUAGUUGGUGUGGUAAAAGCGCACCAAGGCGAAGAUGGGUAGCUGGCUUGAGAGAGUGACCAGCCACACUGGAACUGAGACACGGUCCAGACUCCUACGGGAGGCAGCAGUAGGGAAUAUUCCGCAAUGGGGGCAACCCUGACGGAGCAAUACCUCGUGAGUGAUGAAGGGUUUAGGCUCGUAAAGCUCAGUUAGUGGGGAAGAAGGGGUAGAAGUGUGAAUAAUGCUUUUACUUUGACGGUACCCACAGAGAAAGCAACGGCUAAUUACGUGCCAGCAGCCGCGGUAAUACGUAAGUUGCGAGCGUUGUCCGGAAUUACUGGGCGUAAAGGACGCGUAGGCGGUUUAGUAAGUCAGCAGUGAAAUCUCCGGGCCUAACCUGGAUGUUGCUGUUGAAACUGCUAGACUAGAGUACCGGAGGGGAAAACAGAAUUUCAUGUGUAGCGGUGAAAUGCGUAGAGAUAUGAGAGAAUACCAGUGGGCGAAAGCGGUUUUCUGGACGGUAACUGACGCUGAUGCGUGAAAGCGUGGGGUAGCAAACAGGAUUAA
This 802-nucleotide ribosomal RNA is filed under the name uncultured bacterium. RNAcentral's name for it is "bacterial SSU rRNA". It matches the Rfam family "Bacterial small subunit ribosomal RNA", at positions 8 to 781 of the family's 1533-position model. The record is from RNAcentral.